This 420-nucleotide ribosomal RNA is filed under the name uncultured bacterium. RNAcentral describes it as "bacterial SSU rRNA". It matches the Rfam family "Bacterial small subunit ribosomal RNA", at positions 361 to 773 of the family's 1533-position model. The record is from RNAcentral.
AUCUUGCGCAAUGCGCGAAAGCGUGACGCAGCAACGCCGCGUGAGGGAAGACGGCCUUAGGGUUGUAAACCUCUUUCAGGAGGGACGAAGGUCGGCACGUUAAUAGCGUGUCCGACUGACGGUACCUCCACAAGAAGCCCCGGCUAACUACGUGCCAGCAGCCGCGGUAAUACGUAGGGGGCAAGCGUUGUCCGGAAUUAUUGGGCGUAAAGAGCGUGUGGGCGGUCCGGUAAGUCAGCUGUGAAAGUCAAGGGCUCAACCCUUGAAUGCCGGUUGAUACUGUCGGGCUAGAGUCCGGAAGAGGCGAGUGGAAUUCCCGGUGUAGCGGUGAAAUGCGCAGAUAUCGGGAGGAACACCAAUGGCGAAGGCAGCUCGCUGGGACGGUACUGACGCUGAGACGCGAAAGCGUGGGGAGCAAAC